AGAACGAACGCUGGCGGCAGGCUUAACACAUGCAAGUCGAACGCCUAUAGCAAUAUAGGAGUGGCGCACGGGUGAGUAACACGUGGGAACAUGCCUUUCAGUUCGGGAUAACAGCGGGAAACUGCUGCUAAUACCGAAUAUUCUCUCCGGAGGAAAGAUUUAUCGCUGAAAGAUUGGCCCGCGUUAGAUUAGGUAGUUGGUGGGGUAAUGGCCUACCAAGCCUACGAUCUAUAGCUGGUCUGAGAGGACGACCAGCCACACUGGAACUGAGACACGGUCCAGACUCCUACGGGAGGCAGCAGUGGGGAAUAUUGGACAAUGGGCGAAAGCCUGAUCCAGCCAUGCCGCGUGUGUGAUGAAGGCCUUAGGGUUGUAAAGCACUUUUGCGAGGGAAGAUAAUGACGGUACCUCAAGAAUAAGCACCGGCUAACUUCGUGCCAGCAGCCGC
This 448-nucleotide ribosomal RNA is filed under the name uncultured bacterium. RNAcentral's name for it is "SSU rRNA". It matches the Rfam family "Bacterial small subunit ribosomal RNA", at positions 26 to 518 of the family's 1533-position model. The record is from RNAcentral.